ACGUAAACAAAGUCGCAAAUCGACUGAACAAGAUCAACAUGUUGGUCUUAUUUUGUGAUAGGUUUUUCCAGUCGGAAACUCUACUGACUUACAAUUUCAGUCCCAUUGAUACGUGUGAACCCGCCUUUACUCAUGCAAGUUAACCACGGUGUCUUCACGCUUUCAUGCUUUUCAACUGGAGGGUGUGGCACCAUGGUGUGUGGUGGCUGGUGUGGCAGCUGGGAUGGGGAGCAGCACAAUCUGCAGGAAAGGGAAGCCUCUCCUCGGGGUGCAUCAUCCUGCAAAACUAGCCAGAACACUCCUUUGUCCUCAUGGGAUCAAGAUGUCCCCGCACCAGAGCUGCCGUAUCUGGUGGCAGCCUUGCUGGUGGGUCUUUGUGCGGGAGUGUGCUUUGUGAACUCCCUUUUUGGGGAUUUUGUCUUUGAUGACUCUGAGGCAAUAGUCAACAACAAUGACAUUCGUGGAGAAACGCCGCUGUGCAACCUUUUCCACAAUGACUUCUGGGGUACCCGCCUUACCCAUCCCUCCAGCCACAAGUCCUACCGUCCCCUUACUGUUCUCUCCUUCAGAAUCAACUACUCCUGGGGUGCCCUGGAUCCUUUUAGUUAUCAUGCUGUCAAUAUUGUGCUGCACUGCCUUGUCAGCAUCAUGAGUCUGCGUGUCUUCUAUGUGGUGUUUGGCAGCCAAGCACCGAGGGCUGCUGUGCUAGCAGCCAUUCUGUUUGCCACACACCCAAUCCACACAGAGGCAGUUUCAGGAAUUGUGGGAAGAGCAGACCUGUUGUGUGCCCUGUUUGUGUUUGUUGCCUUCCUGAGUUAUGUGAGGGCUGUUAAACAGGCAUCCGAAGAGGCUGCCAACAGAAAGCAGUCUUGUUGCUGGGCUAAAAGGUGUGGCCAAAGCAAUGUGUACCUGGUGCUGACAGCUGCUGCCACUGCCAUUGCCAUGCUCUGUAAGGAAGUUGGCAUCACUGCACUGGGUGUGUGCAGUGCAUAUGACAUCAUCCUAGCGCAUGGGGGAGUGAUAGGACGCACUGUCAUCCUCCUGGUUCUUGGCCAUAGCACCAGAGCAGUCUCAUCAUGGAGGAGCAUUCCAGAUGGUGUAGUACGUCGUAUGGUGUGGCGCCAUGUGGUGCUGAUGGUGACGGGUGUGGGCCUGCUGGUUGCACGCUGGAUAGUCAUGGGCUCCACUGUGCCCAGAUUCAUGAAGGUGGACAACCCUGCCUCCUUCCUGGAUAGUGUGGUGUUCAGGAGCUUGAAUUAUCAGUACACCUACAGUAUGAAUGCUCUGCUGCUGAUCCUCCCAAUCUGGCUGUGCUUUGACUGGUCAAUGGGCUGUGUGCCAGUCAUUGUAAACUUCAGUGAUCCAAGACUGCUGACUCUUCCAGUUCUCUGGGUUUCAUUUAUAAUGUUGCUGAGGCGAGGAAUGGCUCAGGGCAGAGGAAGUCAGACAUCUAGAUUUGUGUUGAUGGGAUUGGCCAUGGGCAUCGUACCAUUUCUGCCUGCCACAAACCUGUUCUUCCGGGUGGGAUUUGUCAUAGCAGAGCGUGUGCUGUAUCUGCCAGUGGUCGGCAUAUGCAUCCUGGUGGUGACUGGCAUGAGAGAGCUGUGUCUGGCAGGCCACCUUGGCAGGAGAGUUAUCCAAGCUGGCUACUUGGUGCUGGUGGUGGUGUUCAUCCUCCGCUGCCAACAGAGAAGUCGUGAGUGGUUGACUGAGAAGCAGCUAUUCAACUCUGGCCUUGAUGUGUGUCCCCUCAAUGCCAAGGUUCACUACAACAUUGGGAAGGUGGCUGCUGAUGCUGGGGAUGUAAUGGAGGCAGUGAGACGAUACAGAGAAGCACUAAGGCUCAACCCAGACUAUGACCAGGCCAUGAACAACUUGGCUAACAUCCUUAAGGACCAGGGUCACCUGGAUGAAGCUCUUCAUCUGCUGCAGCAAGCUACCACACUUCGGCCAGACUUUGCAGCUGCUUGGAUGAACCUGGGCAUUGUCCAGGCCUCACUAGGAGACCACGGCUCUGCAGAGAACAGCUACCUCACCGCUCUCUCCCACAGAUCAGUAUACCCUGACUGUUUGUACAAUCUGGGGAACCUGUACCUGGAGAAAGGGGACCACCAGGCAGCACUGGCAACCUGGACGAAUGCCACCACCCUCAAGCCUUCCCUAGCAGUGGCCUGGACUAACAUGCUCAUCCUUCUUGAUUCCCAAGGACUCUACCAGCCAGCUAUUGACAUUGCAGACCAAGCACUGAAACAUCUACCAAAUGAACCAGCACUGCACUUCAAUCUGGCCAACACUCUUGGCAAGCUGAAUCGCUACCAGGAGUCAGAGUCACACUUUCUGCUAGCGACCACCCUGGAUCCUAGUAAUGCCAACUAUUGGGCUAAUUUAGGAGUGCUUUACCAUCGCUGGCGCAAGUAUGAGCAAGCGCAGCAGUCCUAUGUGCAUGCCCUGCGCCUCAACCCUACCUUGCGAAGUGCCCAGGACAACCUGAGUAUGCUGCUCAAAGCUACUGGUAAGAUAACCAGAUAGCAGGACGCAGCAGUGGUGGCAGCUGCAGAAGGGAAGUGGUGAGGGACUGUUCUUUCUCUCCCUCUUCUGUUUCUUAAUUUCUUAUUUAUCUCUACAAUGCUUUAAGUGGGUUUUUUUCUUGUUUAAAUUGAAACAAAUCUGAAAAAAUGUCCACACAUUUCUUUUGUUUUUGAUCAUUUGCUUUGUUUUUUCUGUUAAGUAAGGAUUUUUUUUAGCAGAAAUGAAUUUUCUCUGAUAUAUAUUUCUUCUUAAUCUUAUAAUACUGAGCUACACAUUUCUUUUUACAUGAAUAUCAGUCACACCUCAGUAUUUAUUUUGUUGAAUGGUUUUCUGGAGAUAUUUUAGUAAUUGAGGAAGAAUGAAAGGCUGGAGGCUUUCACUCUUGCUGAGCAUCUUUGUAGCAUGUCAUGUGGUUAGGAGUGGACAGUUUGAGUAAGGACAGUGGUGUUCAGCUUAACAUUAAAAUAAUACAGAAGCAGACAUAAAGACACCCAAGCUUGUAGCAAUUACCAACGAAUAAAGAGAAAAUUUUGGCUUCCUUCUGUUAGGUACUUUAUUAGUAUUCUUAAGAGAAUAAAGAAUUGCACAGGAGAGUUUUGUGAUUGGUAUAAAGAUUUUUUUUUUUCUGCAUGUGAUAUACUCUUGAUUUUUCUAACAAUUAUUAAUGCAUUGGCAGCUUUGUAUUCUGUAUUAGUUUAUCUUUUUUCCCCCUUUUGGAAAAUGAAAAAUUUACCAGGCUACCAGUUUCCAUGGUUAUUACUGGUGAAGUGAGAUAUCACAGCUUCCACUGUAAUUGCAAAGCAAAAGCAGCUCAUGGUCCAAGUUGCUUUAUGGUGUGGGGAAAGGAAGGGCAUAUAGAACAGUGCUCUUAAUGGUGGUGAUGCAUCUCUGUCCUGCCCAAGGGAGACCUUGUAGCAAGAUACAAUAUAAUGUAGUACCUGUGUGCCAAGUCACCAGUGAGAAUGAGUGGCCAUAUUCUAGUGUUACUUUUUUGUUAUUGUUUUCAGUUGUUAAUGCACCAAAGCACAGCUAUAUUUGUGCUGUGGCUCACUGCUAUGAUUCUCAUUUGAGUGUCUAUUUAGUGAUAAUUCUGUUACUGGUUUUUAUUGAGGAUAUCAAGGGAACAAAUUUUUGGUGUGAAGCUUUUGUAAGAAGUAACAUGUAAAACAUAGUACUAUAUAUAAGAGCAUAGAACUUUGAAGAAAAAUGUUCUUCCUAUGAUUGAUAAUGUAGCAGAUUAUUUCCAUGAAUUAAAAACAUUGUGGAAUUUUGAAAUUAUAAAUUAAAGGCGGAAGACAAAAUUGGCAUAUUGAGUGUUGCUGUAUAGGAAUGAUGAGGCUUUUGUAUGGAAGAUGAAAACAAAUCAAGUGAAAGCAAUGUAAAUGACCUAAAUGUGCGGGAGUGAGAAAUGGGUCUAUAAUGAACAAGAAAAUGUGAAAAAAAAUUAAAAUGAUGUAAAAGAGAUUGAAGAGAAAGACAGAGGAAGCAAAGAUAGGGUGUUACUUGGGAUGUUUACUGUAUGGAAAAGGUGGGCUGAGUAUUUUGAGAGAGUUUUGAAUGUAGAGGAAGAUAGAGAGCCUAAGAAUGCCAUAGUGGGAAGUGAGUGAGGAAUUGUUGUGUAAUGAGAGUUCACAAGGGAAGGAGUGAGGAAACAGGUAAGGCUUAGAACUUUAUUGGUAUGCAGUAGAGUGCUUGUAAAAUAUAUAUGAUUGUUUGUGGUUGGUAAGACUGCUAAAUGUGUCAUGAGCAGUAUGAGGCAAAUUGAUUGGGCAUAUGUAUGUGCAUUGAGUGUAUAUUGUUUCCAUGUAUGAGGAUCACAAAAAUAGGUAUGAUUGUAGUAAUGGUAUGGAUAAAAGUCUGUCAAGUAUUGUAGGUAAAGUGUAUGGUAAUUGUGAUUAAGAGGAUUAAAGAAGAUAAGUGUAUAUGAUGAGCAGUGUGGGUUUAGAAGAGAGGCAAGGUGUGAAUUGACAAGGUGUUUGCUGUUAGCUGUCUGAAAAGAUGAAAGAUUUAUUUUCUAUGUUUGUGAAUUGAGAGUAAGCAUAUUGAAUUGCUUGGAUAGAGGUGUUGACUUGUUUUUUAGAGGAACUAUAUGAAAGUUGGUGCUUUAUAUAACUUUAUAUAACUUCCUAUGCUCUCAUUCUCCACAGAGAAAAAUGAUCAGAAAUCUGUUUUGCUUGGUUGUCACAUUACAGGAAGGAGUAUGAUCUGUAAAUCUUGUGUGUCGUAUCACUGUAAGUUCUCAGAUAAACUUCAUGCUAAGUCCCCACAGCAUGUAAUGUGAUAGAUGAAGCUGUGGUAAGCAAAAUUUAUGCAGAUAAUUCAUGAAAAAAUGGCAUAUUAUAUCCAAAUUGGAUAUAAUGGAUAUGCAUUUAUAUUUUUUGAAUUGCAUAAUUAAUUCCUCACUCAUUGUACUUAAAACCAAGACAACUGAAUCCUCAUUUUUUACUCUCACUUAAAGAAUUCUCAUGGGGCAGGAAGCUUGUUCUUUGUGUAUCACCCUCACUAGAGAGUGGUGAUGGUGAAGGGAGAAGCAGUGUAUCUUGUUGGCUCAAAACUUGCUGGACACAUGACUGAUGAGAUUCUGUUGUAGUAGAAUAUUCAGUUUCAAGCAGUUUUUUUUCUUUUCUUUUAAUACUGACAGUUUAAUUUUAAGUUUGGUGUUUUAAAAUGAUUGAUUACCUAUACAGUAUAUACCCGCCAUUAGUUUGUUAAAUGUUAUGUAGGUAGGUGCCAACUUUUAGGUUAAACUAACACCUAUUUAUGUGAGAGUGGGUGCCAAUUCUUAGGUAAGUGAGUACCAAGUAUUGUAGGUGUGGGUAGGUGAGGUGGUGGAGGGGUAGCUGGUAUUGUUGUUACCUCUCUCUCCACAUGGGUGCUGAUACCACUGCCAAUAGUCUACCACAACCACAGCUGAAUAUGGCAAAAAAAAAAAAAAAAAAAAAAAAAAAAAAAAAAAAAAAAAAAAAAAAGAAGAGACAAAAACCAUUAGAAAUAAUUAAUGAUAUAAUUAAAAGAUCAUUGUUGGAAUUCACAUUAAAGUGCAGUUAAUUAUAUUUUGAUUGUUGUAGACAGCAAUGAUCCUGCUCUACUUAAACUCCAGUCCAAAGUGUGUUGAGUAAUUGGUACCUUUGUGUUAUCAUCAUGCCACGUAACAUUCUCAGCAUCAGUAAACUAAGUGUUGUUGUAUUGUGAAGAUUGCAUUUCAUACAUAUAUACAGACAUGCCCUCAUUAAUAUGAUUGUGGUAUGUAUUCUGGUGAUCCUUUUGCUACUGAAAUGAAUAAUGAUUACAAUUUUUUUUCAAAUUUUAAUUUAAAUAUUUUCUAGGAGGCAAUUGUUGCAUAUAACAUUUUCAAAAGGACACUUUUAUUUGCUAGCAAUGGGUUAUUGUGUCACUACUUAUUUUGUUUGAUCCUUUAUGUUUUUAGUGUUAUUGAUGUGGCAGGAAUUUUGAUGUUAAGUUUGACUUUUUGAUGUGGCCUAAGAUCGGUAUGCUUUGACUUAAGGGUCUCUGUACCAACCUUCUGGCUGGUAUGGUGCUGAGUGUGGGUGUGCUUGUCACCCCAUCAAACUAGCAGUAGCCUCCAUAGAGUUUCAGGAGCAAGUUGAGUACACCAAAGAGAUGCACUCAACACUAUAAGUCAGAGGGGUGUUUAUGAUGUCAGCAAAGAAAAGAGGAAUUGCAUUUUAAAUGGUUAAUUCUUGUUUUCAGUGAAAAGUCAGUGUAGAAUGUGUUGUUGUGGUGAAGCAUUAAUUGGUGGUGGUAGUGAUGCAUCAGAACACAGGCAAACUAUGAUGCUUCUUUUGUUAGUCAUUAUGAUUAUGCUUGGAACAUAUCCAUGCAGAAUCACCAUCAGGUACAUAAUAUUGCUCUAGUCUUAGUUUCCAUGUGGGUAUUUUUCAUCUCUUGUUCUGUUUCCCUCCUCAUACACAAGCAUAUGCAGGCUACAUUUAUGUGUAGUACUUGUGUACAUUUUAAAAUUGUGCUUAAUGAAUGUUUAUAUAUAUAUAUAUUUUUUUUUUGUGAGAAGAAUGUGUUGCAAUUACUGUUUGAUGACAUGCAUUGGGAAAAUACCAUGUGCUUGUGAACUGUUCCACCUCAUAACCCUGUGCCACUGUAUAGGGGAGGUUUGUGCACUCUUAAAGGCUUAAAAGGGUAGCAGUGGAUCAUCCUGCUUGACUGCACUUAUUAAAGUUAUGCACCUUAAUGUGUUUAUAGAUGAAGAGUAGUAUUUAUGGGGAUAUGAGGCAAUCAUAGCAUAAGUGUGUUUAGAGUUUGAAUGUGAAGCAGACAGAUGAUGUGUAACUAGCAUAUUGUAUAUGUAACACUGCUCGUGUGCUUAGUAGGGCUUCUUUUUAUCUUGAAUUCAAACUGAUUUAGACCUGCAUAAAAAAUUACUAUAUGUUUAUGUGCUUUUUCUAAGAAUGACAUGUUCAGUUUUCUCUCCUGUGGACACACUGAGUUGGGUGAGGAGCCAAUGUGGAAUAUGUUAUUGUGUAAUGUUAUGCGUAAAUUGUACAAAAUAGUCUUUAACACUUGUAUGCUUGUCCAUUCAUCAGGUAUACUUGCUCUGAAGAUUGGAAGCAGUUGGCUUGGCUUGGGCCAGAGCAUCUUAUGUUAGCUUGCAGUCUGAUCUUCCUCUUGCUUGCAACUGUAGCUACAGGAGGUGGCUGGUCUGCUCUUGAGUAUGUAAAGAAAUUAUGUAACUUGCCAGAAAAAAAGUAGAGGUCAUGCACCCAAUAGCAUGUAAUGUUGAAGUGUUCAUGAAAUCUGGUUGAGCUGGGGAGUGAAGGACAUACUGGUGAGUGUACUUGGCAUUGUCACACCCCUCACUUGUGUGUACGUACUUAAGAAGAAUCACUAUAGCAGCUUUCCCUCCAGCUGUACAUUUAUGUCAAAGAAAUAUGGGAUUACUGGUAACUUGCUUUUGUUACUUUAUUGUGUCAAAGAAAGUUUCUUAAUUGAAAAAAUUCUUUUCUAUUUUAAAGAUUGGAGAUAAUUAUCACUGUGGCUGGUUGGCCGAAUGCACCUAUAAAUUUUUUUCUAGGGAGAUUUUACUCUUUGGUCAGUACUUUGGUUGGCUCAGAGAAUGAAGUAGUAUUGAUUUAUCUCAUGGCAAUGUGCAAUAGACAGAAAGGUCAGUGACCAGAUCCUGACUGGUUACUUUAUAGUGGCACCUUUGUUUUAAGUUUCAAGAAAAGAUGGAUUUAUCCAUAAAACAGCCACAUGCUAAAAACCUCUUCAUAAAAUGCCAUAUGUUAGAUAUGAUUUACCGUUGUUUUAUGUUUUAGAUAACAUUUAUAACUUGCAAAUGAGAGGUGUGCUCAUAGAGGAGUAUAUGUAAUUUAUUUAGGCUACCUUGGCGCCCAGUGGACGGGUGUUGGCACACUGCCUGGCGUCAUGUUUUCUUGUUUUGUUAUGUUUUGUAAAAAAAAAAAUUAAAGUUAAAACAAGUAAAA
This 7988-nucleotide unclassified non-coding RNA is filed under the name Portunus trituberculatus (swimming crab). RNAcentral's name for it is "protein O-mannosyl-transferase TMTC4-like, transcript variant X7". The record is from RNAcentral. Lineage: Eukaryota; Metazoa; Arthropoda; Malacostraca; Decapoda; Portunidae.